UACGGGGGGAGCAAGCGUUGUUCGGAUUUACUGGGCGUAAAGGGCGCGUAGGCGGCGUGACAAGUCACUUGUGAAAUCUCCGGGCUUAACCCGGAGCGGUCAAGUGAUACUGUCGUGCUAGAGUGCGGAAGGGGCUACUGGAAUUCUCGGUGUAGCGGUGAAAUGCGUAGAUAUCGAGAGGAACACCUGCGGCGAAGGCGGGUAGCUGGGCCGACACUGACGCUGAUGCGCGAAAGCGUGGGGAGCGAACCGG
This 253-nucleotide ribosomal RNA is filed under the name uncultured bacterium. Its description in RNAcentral is "partial 16S ribosomal RNA". It matches the Rfam family "Bacterial small subunit ribosomal RNA", at positions 524 to 776 of the family's 1533-position model. The record is from RNAcentral.